GCGCCGUCGAGGUGUUUUGUACAUAAAAGCCAAGCAAUCUGUUCCGCGAAAAAGACAUCCUUUGGUCCAUUGAGGUUUACAGUCUCGAGUUUCAGGGUCCAGAUGAGCUCCCGACCCCCAACAAUAACACCAUCACACAUCGCUUCCACCAAAUACGGAAUCCUAUCUGCAAAUCACAAUCGAAAUCCUGCAAUCCACGAUCUUCGAGGCACUCCAGCACAUCUUUGACCCAGUCUCAUGGUGAAAGAGGCGGAAAGGGGCGGAUUUGCAUCGUCUACGAUUGCGAGCCACACAUCUUGGCGAGCUGAUCUCUCCGAUUUUACGGAGACGGCACCCAGAUGAACUAUGAUAAGCUGUACCAUCAACCAGACCCUGGACUUUCAGUGGUCUGCAACGUGAAGUCCGUAAUUCACAAUCAGAGUGGGAUUGUAGCUCAUUGUUGGUGAUGCAACAUGGACUGGCACGAGUUUCUUGCCUGCAUUAUACAGCAGUCGAGGAAAAGAAGUAGUGGUAGAGGUAGGGAAGUGAUAGGAGGAAAAGAUAAAUACUUCAUUGUGAUGUCACAUCUCACAUACCAAGCUACACCUCGGCUUUUGUCUUUACAGCAUUGGUUGAAGCUUUCG
This is a non-coding RNA of Neurospora crassa OR74A, 623 nucleotides long. Lineage: Eukaryota; Fungi; Ascomycota; Sordariomycetes; Sordariales; Sordariaceae. The record is from RefSeq and is a predicted model, not a curated record.